Molecule: transfer RNA, 68 nt
Filed under: Chalcorana labialis
Lineage: Eukaryota; Metazoa; Chordata; Amphibia; Anura; Ranidae
Description: tRNA-Tyr
Rfam family: tRNA
About the family: Transfer RNA (tRNA) molecules are approximately 80 nucleotides in length. Their secondary structure includes four short double-helical elements and three loops (D, anti-codon, and T loops).
Source: RNAcentral
GGUAAAGUGGCUGAGUUAAGCGGCGGGUUGUAGCCCCGAGGACAGAGGUUUAAGUCCUCUCUUUAUCA